Molecule: non-coding RNA, 73 nt
Organism: Podarcis lilfordi (Lilford's wall lizard)
Lineage: Eukaryota; Metazoa; Chordata; Lepidosauria; Squamata; Lacertidae
Source: the annotation of a GenBank genome assembly
GCUGGGUUAGCUUGGAUGGUAGAGCGUGAGACUCUUAAUCUCAGGGCCCUGGGUUCGAGAACCAUGUCAGGCA